Molecule: non-coding RNA, 78 nt
Organism: Schistosoma mattheei
Lineage: Eukaryota; Metazoa; Platyhelminthes; Trematoda; Strigeidida; Schistosomatidae
Source: Rfam
AGCUUUCUGAAUCCGCGCUGAGAUUCCGUCAGACACCAAACUAUUGGCAUUGAUGAGACUCUCAAAAUUAGUGAGGCG